CAGCGUGUGCGAGGACCCUGAGCCAGCACAGGAUGUGGCCGGUGAGGCACUAAAGGGUUUGCAGGCAGAGAAGUGCUGACUGGUGGGCCAGGGUGACACAGGUGUUCGGCGUGGUUGUGAAAUGUGUGGUUGUGACAUAGGUGUGGGGGGUGGUGGUGACACAGAUGUGCUUGUGACACAGGUAUGCCAUUUCUGCUCCUCUCCCUAGCAUGGUUCCCAGGAGGGUCUCCUGGCACCACUAACCCAGGCGGAGAGCCUUGUGGAGACGGAGUCGGUGCUGGCCUUGCCCCGCCCUGGGUGUCAGCCACCCUAAGCCAGGAGGGGCCCCGGGUGGGGCAGUGGAGACUGGGGGCAGAACCCUGUGCCUUUCUGCUGUGGGCCCAGCUGCAGUCCCCAUCACCUGGGAGGAUGGUGGGUGGGAAGCUGGCUCAUAAAGCCUCCUCAGGGGGUGGGAGUGUGAACUCUGGGAUUCAGAGCAUCCUGACCCCAGCGGUGUCAUUCCUGGAAGAAAGAUUCAGGGCUCAUCCUCUUGGGACAAGUGAAACCCACAUUUGGUCCCCCUCACCCCCAGCCCACUGGGCCACAGCAGCUUCCCUGCGGAUUCUAGGGAAGGGAGGGUCACUCCUGGGGAAGAGCUUAAGGCCUUCAUUUCACCUGUCUUCACCGCCCACUUUACAGACUAGGAAACUGAGGCUCAGAGAAGGGACGCGUUGGCUCAAAGCAGGGCCUGGAUGUCUGUGCAACGCCGUCCUUGCUGGGGAUGGGGCCAAGGACUUAGGCCUCCCCGGAGCUCGAGAUUUCACUCCCAGGAAACAAAACAAAGCUCUCCUUCACAAGAGAGCACAGUCUAGGAAACAUGGGAGGAAAGACAGCUUUGGAAAGCCAUCAGUGAAAGCUGCAGCCAUCACCCGCAGUGGCUGGGGACCAGGACGCACGGGGCGCCAAAGCAUCAGCCACAGGUGACUGCUUGGGUGUGCCGGGGCCUUUACAUGGGGACAUCUGGCCCCGUCAGUAUCAUGCAAGGCAGGUGAGCUGACACAGGACUCCACUUGAUGAGAUGCAAUAGGAAGGACACGCCUCACCUGGGGGUCUUCUCAAAACAUGUGGCCCAACCCAGGGGAGCCCACAGAGACACUGUUCAGCGUUCAGGACUCACAGAAGGAAGAGGAGGACACAGUCAAACCAGGCAGGGAGGGGCAAGCAGAGAGGAGGCUGCAGGGCACUCCACGGGACAUGCGACAGAAGACGGGAAAAGAAGAGAGCAAAGAAGAUGAAAGAGCAAAAGGGAGGGAAUGAUGCUAGGAGAAAAAGGACCUGAGACAAACCAACAGCAGGCGUGACCCUCGCUGGAUCCUGAAUCACAGGAAGCAGGCAUGGGACUUCCCUGGUAGUCCAGUGGUUAGGAAUCUGUCUGCCAAUGCAGGGGACAUGGGUUUGAUCCCUGGUCUGGAAAGAUCCCACAUGCUGCAGGGCAACUAAGCCAGUGAGCCACAGCUACUGAGCCCACACUCUGCAACGAGUCGCCACCGCAACGAGAAGCCAGCACACCACAACUGGAGAGUAGCCCCCACUUGCUGCAACUAGAGAAAGCCCGCCCAGCAACAAAGACCCAGCACAGCCAAAAAUACAAUAAACAAAUAAAAAUAAAAAAUAAAAAAAAAAAGGAAGCAGCCAGGAAAGCUUCUUAGGACAACUGGGAACCUUAAAUGUGGAUGAGGUAUUAGAUGAUGCCUUUGAAUUAUCACUGAUUUUCUUAGCCAUGGACACGACAGUCUGUGUGCAAGAAGGUCCACUUCUCUGGAGACGCCUGUGAGGUGUCUAAAAGCACCAUCCUAAGGUCAGCAGAAGGUACCAGUGGAAACCAACUGUGGAUGGCAGACCCUGCCGUGAACAGGGCUCAGCCCCUGCAGGUCCCAGGGGUAUUCAUCUCACCCCACUUUUAACCUUUCUCUGACGUUUGAAGUUCUCAUAAUAAAAAAGUUUUGAGGGGAAAUUUUUUUUUAAUGGAAAAUAAGUCUUUCCACAAAGAGCUGGGAAUUCACUAUAAAGAAACCACUGUUUGCUUCUUCGAAGUGGGUUUUGCUAAAAUGCCAGCCUCCAGCAUUUCUGAGAAAUUAGCACAAACUGUAGCAAAGAGGAAAUUCAGCACCUCUGAGUCGGGUAUGUAAAUUGAAUCAUGAAAAUCAGGGCUUUCGCUGCAUUUCUAAGAAAUGUCCUUUUUUGGAUACUCUUGCUUUUGUCUUCCCCUGGGACUCUCUCAGAGCGGGUUGGGCCUCCAGGCCUGGGGUGGGGGGCUGGGGGCGGGCAGCAGACAGUGCUGGGGAAGUGGUAGCCACCAGGCCCUGGGGGGCCGACCGACACCACUUUAGGGGCUGGGACCUCAGGGCCCAAACCUCAUACGCACAUGUGGACAGUGGAGCCAUCUCGCUGGAACAUUCCGUCUGGCUGAGUAAUUCCACCUAAGGAACUCAAGCCUUAGCCUGAGACACAGAAAAGGUAAAACACAUGUGCAAUGAAGACGGGACAUUUAGAACAGAGCCUGCAGAGCUAUUUUAUUUUCCCGGAUGAGCACAGAAGAGCUUAUCUAAAAAGACAAGGACUUGAUUGAUAGGAUGUAUUAGGUGGGGAAAGAACCCUGUUAACAGUGUUUAAUCUGCAAGAAAAAAAUAUGUGGGGAAUGACGAGGCAAAAUCCAUCACCUGGUGAAACGUGCAUCCAGGUUCUGCCGGAGGCCAAGGGGCCGGAUCAGCGCACUGGCCGUGGCAGAGCCUGCUGUCCUGCUUGGCAGGAGAGGCCCUUCCUGCACAGGUUCAGGUUACUCUUUACCAUAUUCUAUCUUAACUGUUUAAGGACACAGUGGAGUGGAACCAGCUCCAAACCCUGAGGUUACCCUGUCUUUGCUCCAGUUCUAGAACUCUCACGUCCCCUUGAUGGUGGAGCUUAAAAUUAGAAUCCUGAGUCUCCCCUGAGACACUGAGAAAGGGCUGCUUUCAGAAUGAGGAGCAGAAAUCUUGGCACCUGCUCUGAGGGCUCCUGGCGCAGGGAGAGUCACACGGAAGUGCAGUUCCUGCUUGGGGGGUGACAGUCCCUGCUGUGGGGAGUCACUCAGGGGGCAGUUCCUGCUGGGGGGGUA
Long non-coding RNA from Cervus hanglu yarkandensis (Yarkand deer), 3133 nucleotides. NCBI's taxonomy places the organism in Eukaryota, Metazoa, Chordata, Mammalia, Artiodactyla, Cervidae. The record is from Ensembl.